UCUCCAGAGAAGGAGACUCCACCACCUCCCUGGGCAGCCUGUUCCAGUGCUCCGUCACCCUCACCGUAAAGAAGUUCUUGUACACAUUUGUGCGGAACUUCCUAUGCUCCAGUUUCUGGCCAUUUCCCCUUGUCCUGUCUCCACACACUUCUGAGAAGAUUCUGGCCUCGCCACUCUGCCUCCCACAUCUUAGAUAUUUAUAAACCUGGAUCAGGUCCCCUCUCAGUCUUCUUUUCUCAAGGCUGAACAGACCCAGUUCACUCAGCCUUUCCUCAUAGGAGAGAUGCUCCAGGCCCUUCACCAUCUUCGUGGCCCUCCGCUGGACUCUUUCCAAGAGAUCCCUGUCUUUUUUGUACUGGGGAGCCCAGAACUGGACGCAGUACUCCAGAUGACGCCUUACCAGGGCAGAGAAGAGGAUCACCUCCCUCUACCUGCUGGCCACGCUCUUUUUAAUGCACCCCAGAAUGCCAUUGGCCUUUUUGGCCACAAGGGCACACUGCUGGCUCAUGGCCAGCCUGCCGUCCACCAGGACGCCCAGGUCCCUCUCUGCAGAGCUCCUCUCCAGCCUGUACCCCCAACCUGUACCAUUGCAUACAAUUAUUCCUCCCUAGAUGCAAGAUUCCACACUUGCUUUUGUUAAACCUCAUUUGGUUUAACAGAGGACUGUUGCUUUCUAUGUGGACAGUCAAGGCUUUCUAUGGUACUUUUAGAAUAUCACAGUAGAAAAAAGUUCACUGGUCUCAGCCACUACAAGCAAUCCAAGAUUAGUGAGUACAAAAAACCCAAACCAAAUCAAAACAAACAAACAAAAAAACAAACAACAAAAACAUCCACCUAACAGAUUUUACAACAACAACUAUAUAUAGCUUUGCAGGAGGUAAGGCUAAAUCAGCCUGCUACAUGAAGGCAUAUAGUCAUCAGCAAUGAGAACUAGGAAGAAAUGCUUCAUGUGUAGCAAUACCUAAUUGGGUAAGAGCAGCACGUUUUUGUCUGAAAUUCCAUUUUAUCACCAUGUGCUACUUGUUACUACCCAGGCUGAAUACUAGAUGGAAUUGACUGCUGCUUCACUCCAGCAGUCCAAAUCUAUGUUCUAAAAUGAUAACUAUUUUUAGGAAUGCAAAUUAAUACAGAGACCCAGUGAAUAAAAUUCAGACUUCUUGUCUUUACCUCAGGAAACCUCAACUUUUUAUAUCUGCAAAGAAAUUAUCUUAUUUUCUGUCUUCUAUGUCAAGACUUGACUUUGUCACCUUCUACUUACAUAGCACAAUUUUGUUGUUUCUUGAACAACAAUCACAGCACAAUGAGAAUUGCAUAUUACAGUGUGAUUUCAUGAGUGGAGUCUGUUUGCCUAUUAGUGAAUUGCAAAUUAAAAGAAGUGGUUCUUAGCCCAGAUGCCAAAUGUCCUUCAUACAUGCAGCUCUGUUCUGGUGCUUCUACAGCAGACUGGCUACUACAUUCAUUCUUUGUAACAAUUGACCCUGGGUCUCCUUAUGUCCUACAGAGAACUUAUUGGGUUUUAAGACAUAAUGAUUAUCCUUUCUGUGUUUUGUUUGGUUUUUUUUUCCUUUUUUUUUGAGUUCAAAUUCAUAGAAAUAAUGACAGGAUUGCUUUGCAGCCCAUCGAGCUGGUGUUUUUCUGUCUGCAGACUGAGGACACACAUUGAAUGCUGUGGCUUGAGGCUAGAGGCCAUGUGGGUUCAUUGCAGGGAAAAAAUGCAUAUCAGAGGACUAUGUAAGGCAGGGGGAGCCAACUCUAGAAUAUCCAUUAAAACCUUGAAGAGUAGUGUUUUGAGUGUCUUGUCACUCAAACUGCACUGGGAAAUCACAUCCAAGAAAGCUAGCUGCAGUUAUCCUCACCAAAGCAAGGUAACACUUAAGCAGUGUAGACACUUGUAUGUGUGGCACUCAGCUGUUUUUUUUUCCAUUUAUCAAUAUAUCUCUCACAGACCCUGGUGUGAAGGUCACCAAAAGCUAAAAGCAAGGGCUUACAGCAGGAAGCUCUUCAGGCUUACAGUCACAAUGAAACUAGCAGAGAAAAAACUCUGUAAUAUGUGCUUCCCUUUCAGGUAUACCUCUGUCUGGCGGGCCAAGUUCCAGUCAAUGCCAAACUGCUUCUGUGACAGUUUUGGACUGGCAUUCAAAAAUUAAACUGAGAGUAGUUUUUGCUACUUCUGCAGUUACCUUCCUCUUUUUCUUCCCUGCCUACCUGGUCUUUACCUCAGUUUCUUUUCAUCAGUAGAGAGGGAAUCAAAUGUUAGCUCAGUUAGAUAGAUGUACAAAAGUCCUUGCAGCCUGACAGUAAAGCAUCCAUCCCAGCUAAUGUACAGCUGAGGAAGAUGUGCUGUUCUCUCCUUGGUGAUUUCUGAUUUGUUUUCUGUUAUUUAUUCUGAAGACUUUUCAAACAAGUCUGGGGACCAGACACGUGAAGAGCAGAGCGUGGCACAUCAAGUUUCCUUUGUCUCUGAUCCUGCCUCAGAGAUCCAACACAGCCAUACACUCAUACUGAUUUAUGAGUAUAUCAACAGCAAAUAUUCACACAACCCCUUUGGACCUCCUCCACUUCCCCAGUCAUCCCCACAGAGACAUUGGGUAUAUUAAUUCCAGCUGGGCAGACAAGUUCAGAGCCCUUCUGGAAGAAAAGUGGUGAAACAGAAGGAAGAGAGACGCUUUUUUGGCGCUGCUUUUUUUUUUUUUUUGCUACAGGAAAUGAAGAGACAGCAGUCCAGACAGCAGAGAUGACAGGUCAUGGAGCGGGCGCUUCCUAUGAGACAGGAAGCCAUGCUGGCCCUCACAUGGAGCUCUGGCUGUCUGCAGGCCUCCGUUCCCCUCUUUGCACUUGGACUGUUGAUCUUUACACCAUGACGGCUCCAAAGAUAUGCUGCAACCAGCCAGGCAACCUGCAGUGGGAGAGACUGGUUAGACAGCUCAGCCUCUAAUGUUGGGUUCUGCCAUCCAGCAGCAGGCCCAGCAGGGUUAUGAAGAGGCUGGUGGUGCCAGCUAGAGGACCUGGAGUAUUGGGUAGCAGAGAUGCACAGCUGAAUUGUUGUGGGUUGUGAAUGAUGGACAAGGAAAGAAGAAUAGCAGACAGACAGACAAAAUACUUAAAAUGUCUCUUUAUUUUUACUCUUUCGUGCCUUAAAGGCCUAGGAAUAUUAUAAAUGUGAUUUAUUAAGGUGUAUAUGAGGAGAAUGUAAUGAAAUCAAUUUUGAAAGAAAUUACAACUCUGUCUUCCAGCAUUAUAUGUUUGCAAUAUAAAAUUUUGAAUUGCUCUUAUUGUAGCUGCUGUUUAUAUUUCACAAGUGUUCAAGCUCUAUGUGUGAACUGAGUGGUCAGCCAUGUCCAAGCACAAUGAGCUUAAGACUCCUCUGAGUAUUCAUGACUUAUGGUCUAAGGACUGCGUGUGUGAGACCACAUUAAUAGAUUAGAGGGGAAAUUCUGGGCUCCUGGAAAUAAAUGUUUACAAGAAUAAACAUAUACAUAUAUGUUUGUACCCAGGUUUUCAGUUCCUACAGGUUUAGUUGAAAGUACCAGAGGGUCAGCCCUGACUCCAAAUUAGCUAAUCCAGCACUGAAACAGACAGCCUUUCCUGCUCUGUGUUGGCCAGCAAAGGCCCUUUGACACCUUUGCAUUGCCCCAGAACGGUUCUAACUUUUGAGACUUCUACAGUAGGCAGGACAUUGUAUCUACCAGCCCUUUAGAGCCUGAUCUACUGUUGGUACAAUCACCAGCGAGGGGUCUCUGUCAGGGCUUUUAUUCUCAUGAAUGUGCAAGAUGGCAAUUUGGCCUCCUAUACCACAAUUGAUUUUGAUUUCAGUGAUGCUAUCAUCUGCACUAUCAUGAUUAAUGCUAUCAGUGUAAGUAUAUUAACUAAUGUCAUUAAUAUUCAGAGUUAAUUUUCUUCAGCCCAAUUAUUCAUCUUUCUUGAACUCAGGGACAAGAUGUGACAUACUGUUUUCAGGUUUAAGUUUUUAAAUGAUCUCCCAAGACAAAACAUGCUAACAUCUUAAAUAACUGAAAGUGUGAAGAUAAAACAAACAAGCAGAUAUAGGAACAUAAAAAGCAAGCUAUGUAAAUAUCCCGACUUAUUUUGUCUUUCUGAAAAAUAGAGUGUAAUAUAGCAAAGAGUAGAGACCAGUGAAGAUCAGAAGCCUUUAGGUUUUCAAAUUGUUCCAAAAGUUAAGUUGUGGUGGAGCAGAUAGAAGUCUGCUUUGCAUUUGUGGUUUGUGCUGGAAAGUAUGUAACUGUCAGUAAGAGGAAAUGUGACUUAGUGAAAUGCUGAGAUACUUAUACACUGUUAAGAACCAGCUACCAAAUGGAACAGACGUUGUUUUCAGGAUUAUGGGAAGAAGAUUAAAACAGCGUAAGAGUUAUGCGGUGAAAUUACUGGAAACUGGUUAACUACAGAAGUUGUGGAAGGUGAUUUUAUAUUUCAUUUACUAAACUGUGUGCUUUCAAAUGGAUGAAUGCUCUUUUAAAGUACCUUGCCUUUAUUUCAUUUAAGCUGAGAGCACUGUAACUGGUUUUCUUAUAUUUCAUUUAAGUUCAACCAUUCUGGACUACUACAUUACACAGUGAACAUACAUAGAGAUUGCUUAAAAUAUUUUUAAAAUCAAUAUAAAUUUGUUUCAAGAUUGAAUUGGUUCACUGAAAAAAUAAAAUAAAGCAGAGAAUAGAGUUUUAGGAAUUAUUAAGGAAUGGUUCCUGCUAAAAAGGUUACAUUUUUAAGAUAUUAACAAGAUUUCAUAUUGUAAAGAAUUCUAGUAAUUUCUUACUUAUCAGAAUUUUUUUAAGAUCUUUGUUCCUUACUUAAGCAAAGCAAAACAAAACGAAACACUACACUAAGCUCUUGUAUUUGGAAAAGACCACGGAAGUACACAACCCUGAUUCCAUUUUGCACAUAAGCACUCUGUUACCAUAGCAGUUUUGCCUUUUGUAGUGUUGUGAAAUAGCCAGGGAAGUCCAAGUGAAUUAUUUCAUCUUCUACAGAACAGGAAAACAUACUGGAAAAAUUCCUGUGACAAAUGCAAGCUGUUGUCUGCUGUCCAGUCCCUGCUCUUACUGUUGCACAUAGCAGGAGGGUUACCAGUGGAAAAUUAAAGCUUUGUAAGUCUGACUCUACCUUAAAAUGAUUGUGCUGGGUAGAUCGUGCUACUCUGCCUAUUUUCUUUUGUAACCAUGUGUGCCAGAGCCAAGUAUGUUUAAAGUGAUCCCCUGAGUUCACAAGUGCUUUGUGUUGCUGGACUGCCACAGAAUUGUAGGAGUAGAUGGAUGAAUUUGAUUCCAGUCUGCUGGAUUCAAAGGAAAGUUGGACAGAGUCCAUCCACAUGAUGCUUGCAUUUUAAGUGGAGUAUCUGCUUCAAUAAGCAAUGUUUGCUGCAUAGGUUGAGUUUCAGCUCAGGUGUCCCAGCUGAAGCGUGAUCUGAAUUCAGCCCAGUAUGGGAAAAAAGUGCUUGAGCACAGACGCUGGGUUUUAGGUCAAACAAAUAGUUUCUGCAUGAGAUGAGAAUUCUAUAUUUCAUCACGACAGUGACGGUUCUCAUCCAAAGGAAGACUCCAGAUGAAUUCGAUAGCUUUGCAAUAGGCUAAUGAUCAUAAUUUAUGCUUCUCCAAUCUCCCCUUUAUUUCCUUUCAAGUGUUAGAUAUCCAUUUUCCUGUAGAUAGUCACACCUUUCCUACCUGUUAUUUUUUGUUUGCAUUUGACAAAUAUGUUAGAACCCUUCGCAGACAGGAGAAGAGUCAGACAGAGAGAGAGACCAGAGUUGUUAGUCAGCUUUGGGAUGUUUCUCAAGUCCUACUGAGAACAAAAUCCAAUUUGUGUUUGUUGUUCCAUAAUUCUGUCCUAUGGUCAUCAAGUUAAGUAUUUGCUUUGUACUCCUGAACAAAAAAAGCCUUAAGAAUUUCUGCUAAGUACAUUUGUUAGUCACUGUUUGGUGAGUGCUUUGAAUAAAUGCUAGCUUCUAUUUGCUUGUAUUAAGAGAGCAGAACAUUUUAUUUCCAAAGAAGUUAAACAUGUUGACUAAACUGAUGUUUAGGUGUUAGUCUUAAAUUGUUCCAUGGUUGUCUUUCUUACUCCUCCUCACCAGACAGAAUCUCUCACCUUGGACAAACCUAGAAGUUUUCCACAGCCUUUUUAAUCUGUACAUGCACAUUUUCCAGGCCUGACAACUUUCCUUUUGUUACAAAAAUUAAUCAAAGGAAAACCAAAGAGAAUAAGCAGCAUCUUAUUAAAAUAUUGCUGUUAUUGUGCUCUAUAUCAAUCAAUUGUAGGAAGAAUUUAUGAAAAAUUAAACAAAAUGUCAAAAAGUUGGUUCAGAGAAAGCAAACACAUACAAAAUUCAAAAAAAUCUACAUAAUUGUGCAAAUCAAUUAUUUCCUAUAGUUUAAGGAAAUGACCAUUCUGAAAUCAGUUUUUACUUUGUGCUCUUUGAAUGAGCACAUUGACACUAUCUUACAGAGACAUCUGAGAAUACAUUCAGCUUUAUCUAAGGAUAAGGAAGGAUGUCAAAUGAUGAAAUGGGCAGAUUUAAAAUUCAGCAGCAUGUCAUAUUCCCUUUCUUGACUACCCCUGUCACCAUAUUAGGAGCUGGUCACACAACAGAUCCUACAUGUGGAAACAUCUGUUGUGAUCACUUACACUGUCCACAUGCAGAUCCACCUUGUUGGCUCUUUCACUGUGUGUCAGGGUUUGGUUUGUGUCAGUGAAUUUUUUCUUGUUCUGCUCUGUACUUUAAUGCAGUGUUGUUUAAUGCACUAUUCUGCCUGCACUUUCGAGUGGAGAAUUCUGAUUGUGGAGGACCCUGACCAUAGAGGACCAUUCCUCAUACUUCAAAUGAUCUGGGAAUUUUGCCAUAAUUGUUUUCAUUCAUUAUACUUGGUGUUUUGCUGAGAGACUAUUUUGCUAUUUCUAUUUUCCCCAGUUUUUGGAGACUAUAUUUUGCUGAGUAAGUGAGGAAACAGAGGUCUGAGACUCUUCUCAUCCCUUCUUAUUGAUAAUGUUUGAAGUGGUCAAAGUUCAUGAGAUCUGUGGGUAGUCUAUUGUAGAGUGUAGGGAACAUGGGAUGGACAGGAGAGAAAAGCUUUCAGAUUCAGAUAUUUCUUGUUUGCUCCAGGCUAACAGAGUGUUUCCAACAGAGAAAUAGUGAAACUCAGCAUAGGUAAGAUGGAGUGUUUCUUUGAUUCCUCCUAACUGAAGAGAUUUUAAUCAUGUGAUAAGGAGAAAAAGCCUGCAGUUUUCAAGGGGAGAUGCUCCCUAUUUAUGAUGAAAAAAGUGGAACUUGACAAAAUAAAGGCUUUUAUUUCAGUUCCUGAAGCAACUGUUUCUUUGUGGUGGCUGAAGAGUUUGUUGCCAGAAAAAUGUUUUCCUUUAUACAUUUAAGAAAUCUUCCAGCAAAUAGGUAACCCGAUGCUUGAAUAAUAAACAAAUAAAUGAACAGAUUUUCUUCCAUUAAAGCAGAUUUUCUUCCUACUACACUAAAAUUUGAGUAAGAAAAUUACUCCUACAGCUCUUGAAAAAUCUGAAGGAAAUCAAAGUACUUUUCUAACAUAACAAAGUGGUUUUGUAGGGAAGGAGCAAUCCUAAGAGAAGAGUUUUCCUUUUAAGAUGAUUUCCUCAAACACUUGAGAGAAAUUAGCACUUUGAAUACCUUCAGUUCUUUUCUUGUAUCACACAUAUGUACAUUUUGGUUACUUGGAAAUAAAACGGUGACAAUAGGAAGUAAGUGGUAAACAUGUAAAUUAUUUGUGGCUGUUUAAUGGAUAUCACAGUCUCUAAUAAUAUUCUUAUUUAAGUACCACUCAGAGUGAGUGCAUAGAAGUACUCCUUUCAUAGGAAGAGCUGCAGCCAUUCAUCAACAGUUCUUUAAUGAGGAGUGUAUAGUGACAUUUUACACAGUACUGCUCUAUAUUGCUCUCCAGGUUGGAGAAGGGCCUGGUGCAGAGCUCGAGUGCAGCCAGGUCUUACCCAAAGGGGCAGGAGACCCACUGGCUCCAGACUUCUCAGCCCAGCGGAGCCACUGAGCACAACAAAAGCAUAGUAACUCCAGGUUCCACAGUUUCAUGAGAAAGGAGCUCCAUUAAAGCAUGAAGAACAAUAGUUUGAUUAUAACUGCUGUAAAACAAAGAGCUGAGUGAAGUCUUGGAGUGCUGUUGCUCUGGGCAAGUUCUGGAGCAGAGAACAAUUUAACACAGAAGCUUUCAGCCAAAUUUUGACUGGAAGACAGAAAGAUGCCUAAAUACAUUCAGUUACCAGCCACAAAGCUGGUAUAUGAUACAAUUAACAAGAAAAGAUGUAUCCCCAGUCUGACAUUCUGUGUGCUCUGACAGAACUGAAACCUGCAAGGGAGACAUGCAUGGAAAAGCAGAGGUUUGUCAGCGCAAGAAUGACUUUCCCAUAUCAUCUCCUUUAGGGCAAAACUCUUAAGAUCUAAUUUUCUAUGGACUUCUAUAAGUGUGGCCAUGCUGAUAUUAACAUUUUGGCUUGGAGCAGCAGUGUAUUGCUACACAGAUCUCCUGGUUGCUCCUUUCUUGUACUUGGAUUAGGUUUAGAAUGUAUUAAAGUAGGAACAAGGGGAAGCUUUGAUUUAUUGAUCUCUUCCUACUGCACAUAAUUCUUUGCCAAUAUAGAUACAAUCUGUGAGGCCCCAGAAAGGCACUCCUGAACACACUGGUGUUACAUGGAUCUACUCUCCACAGCCACGCAGGACAUGAAUGAAACUUUGCAAAGGUAUGGGUAACUUUGAAAUAACUUCUGUUUGAAAGCAACUGCAACCUGUCAAGCAUGACAAUAUAUUCGUAAUUUUCAUACUCUUUUGCUGUUCCUGUACUUCUGAAUUCUCUGUGACCUUGUAAGCUAUGUCUGCUCUUUUGGAGAUAUACAAACAGGCUAUAGAUGCAUGGCUAGUCUGCUUAGGAGUCUGAUAAACUAGCCUGUGUGAACUGCAUACUAUCUUGACUGCCUUUUGGUUGUUUUGUAGGAUAAAGAACCUUAAUGCAAAGCUCAUUCCAGAGUCUUGUGAUUAGCCCACUGUCUCUGUUGUCAGCACAGCCCCAUUGGAAUGCUCUCAGGUUUUGGUCCUAAACGGAGCAGAGCUGAUACUCUGAGGAAAUUACUAAAAAAAGGAAAGCAGACAUGAUGUUGCAGCAAUACUUGGAGAUUUCGUUAUCUGUGCAAUUAAGUGGUAUGAAUAUUUACCACAGAGGAAAAAAAAAAAUUGCAUGUUGUGUAGCUCCACAUCCAUUGGCACAUACCUGAAUUUAGCAUGUACUUUCCUAAAAGACUUUCAUGGAUAUGUAGUGCAGAGCUCUCCACACCUUCAAACCAGAUUUCUCAUCUGUAUGUAUUAUAUAAAUACCACAUAGAAAUUUGGACACAAUUGUCUCGUAGUCAUUUGAUCCAACCAUUCAUAUUACCUGGAACAGUACAAACAAAUGAAGACAAAAAAUAAGUUGUGGUCACACUACAGUUUGAAUGCACUCCACUGUUCUGAAUUCAGAGCAACAACAUUACAUAGCUUACCUUACAUUCUGAUGAAUACCUUAUAUUUUGAUGAUCUGUUUAUGCUAAUAUUCAUGGUAUUUUGUUUUCAUAAUAUUUGUAGUCAGUUGCUUGGCUAUAUGAUCUUGGGGAUUGUCUAUACAGUUGACUAGGAGAUACAAUUCCUGGUUUAUUCUGAGAAUUCUGAGCCACUCUUCAGUGUCACUCCAUCUCUGGGCACAUUUUUUCCAGAGAUUCCAAUGAAAGUGUAGAGUAGUAGCAACUGCUAAGAAGCAUAAUCUAUCUUUUUGUUAGAGGAGUUUCCAAAGGAUCCAGACCAUUCUAUGAAAAAUGUAAACAUUUCAAAUUUUCUUUUUGGUCUCACUUUGGCAAAAUAACACUUUGGGGUGGCCCACAAAAAUAUCAGAAAGGCCUUAUAAAACUGGUGUGCCAGUAUGUGUCAUUUUAAUUCCUUCUAUUUACAGAAAUCCAUCAGGUGCUUUGCAUGUAUAUUUAUGGCUUUUUAGAGAAAGAAUCAAAUGGUUAUUUACAUUCAUGUGAAAUGUUUUCAUUCCCCUGAAUCACCACGUUCUAACAGAAUAGUUUUCUAAAAGAAAAUUCUCAACACUCUUUGUUCCCAAACACUCCUUAUCAAUGUUUAUUGAACAUUCUUGUCCUAUACACCUUUGGAAAUCCUAUUAUUUUUCUUGGUCUGGUGCUUGGUUAUGAUUUAGGAUGUUUUUCUAGCUUACACCGCUUACCAAUUCAAACUGUGAAACACUGUGAAAAAUAUGUUGUUUGAACCAGUCUGAAUCUCUGGAUUUCUAAUCCUGUUGGUUGAGUGUACUGAACUUUCUUUCCCUAAGCCUCUCUCACAUUUCAUUUGGAAGGAAGGCAAUAGUUCUCCUUUUUAAGCAAUUAGAAAUUUAUCACAAAUUGUGAUACUUACUGUCAGUUAGUCAUCUGUUGAUGUUGUGCAAGCAUGAAAAGGGCCAGUUCUAGCAAUAUUCACCAGAAAGUUAUGCUGAGCAAUUAACAAGAUACAAGGAAAACUGCUAUGUUGUUCUGUGUUCUUUGUCCAAUCUUUGCUGUCAAGUAUUUUCCAAUACGAAGUCUCUGUUACUAGGUUGAAAAACAGACUUUGCUGUUUUUUUUUUUUUUUU
Long non-coding RNA from Tympanuchus pallidicinctus (lesser prairie-chicken), 10634 nucleotides. RefSeq lists it as uncharacterized. Lineage: Eukaryota; Metazoa; Chordata; Aves; Galliformes; Phasianidae. The record is from RefSeq and is a predicted model, not a curated record. The transcript has 3 exons.